This 1144-nucleotide long non-coding RNA is filed under the name Zea mays. RNAcentral's name for it is "long non-coding RNA (ZMAY_LNC002854)". Lineage: Eukaryota; Viridiplantae; Streptophyta; Magnoliopsida; Poales; Poaceae. The record is from RNAcentral.
UAAAUUUCUUUGUACAUAUAUUUUCCUGGAUGUCUUGACUGAAAGGUGGAAGCAAAUCCUCCAAUUCUCCAAAACUUCCAAGCUGCAAAUUUUGCCAUGUAUCAAAAGUCCCAAAUACACUAGAAACUGGGAAGUGCUUCGUAAUAACUUACCAUAUGCUAAAUGUUUUCUUAAAAUAACAAAUAAAAUCAAAUGAUUUUCGCGCAAUGUGAAAAUUCAAAGUCACGCUUAAUGAAAAAGAUGCAGCAAUAGGUUGCAUGCACACAUAAUUAGAAAAAAUUUACGCUAGGUGUCCAUGUACACAUGUGACAAAUGAUAGCCUGAUGCAAACAUCCAUCUUAAGGAGAUGCAGUAAUCUCUUAGAACUUCACAAUCAUACAUGCAGCAGAGCAGUAACAGAAUGUCACGAAGCCAUAACAGCCUAACAGCUCUAAGCUAAUUGAUGCUAAGGAAGCACAUCCGAUUGGCAUAACACGAGGAAGAAGUAGCUAUGGAUUUUGCCAAUGUUGGGGAAUAUCUCGGAGCAUGUCACCAGAACACAGAUCCCUGUGGCUGCGGAACUCCAUGAAAACUAGAGAACUAUACCAUUCAUUUACACUGUAUGCAGAGCACUACUAUAGACAACCAAUUUAACAAGUACACAAGGUAACUACAGGGUUGGGAUUGCCAAUAAGGGGCAUUUAAAUUUUGAAGACUUAGAUAAAUGAUAUCUGACACGAAAACUUAUAUAAAGGCAGCUUAACUUGAGCUAUGAGCGCGCACACACAAGCUCAACUCCUUUUAGCUGAAGAGAACAUUACAAAUUCAAUUUGUCAUUGUUCUACUCAUAAUAAUGAGAUUUUCUCUUUAACUUACCAACUGGAAAGAAGUUUCUGGUAGUGUAAAUUUCUUGGUACAUAUAUAUUCCUGGAUGUCUUGACUUAAAGGUGGAAGCAAAUCCUUCUCCAAUUCUCCGGAGCUUCCAACCUGCAAAUUUUGCCAUGUAUCAAAAGUCCCAAAUACCAACAAUCUAGUUCCAGGUCAUAUUCCAUGCUCUAUCCCAAUGAAUCCAACACUGCUGUUCUACCAACAGAGCAAUCAAAAGUAACAAGGCAGCAAUACCGAAUUAGGUAACGGGAGGCUACAAAUAACUACCCACUGCUGC